AUUAAGAUGAAAAAAACUGCCAUCUGAAUCGAUAAGCCGAUAUUGUACAUACAAUCAUUGAAAUACGCAAGGCAGUAACAUUGGACUUUCAAAGGUGAUUGACAUCCCAUAUUAAGAACUGGACAGAGAACUCGCACCUUGGACGGCAGAUUUUAAUUAUAACAGUUUUUACAUCAUUUACAAUCAUUAGAUGGCUAAGCAUUUGAAGCCUUCUCCACAGGAUGAGAUUCAGCACCAUCUGCCAAUUUUGCACGCUUCGCUUCAUAAUCUUUAAUAGCAGCCUUGAUAGCGUCCUCAGCAAGCAUGCUGCAGUGCAACUUAACAGGCGGUAGGGAGAGAUGUUUUGCAAUUUCCGAAUUUUUUAUGGUUAAGGCUUCUUCCAUUUGCUUCCCUUUCACCAUUUCUGUAGCCAACGACGAGGAAGCAAUUGCAGAACCGCAACCGAACGUCUUGAAGCAAGCAUCUACAACCUUACCAGUCUUCUCAUCAACCUUGAUCUGAAGCUUCAUAACAUCGCCACAGGCGGGCGCGCCGACGAGGCCGGUGCCGACCGUCGGAUCGUUCUUAUCAAACGAUCCAACAUUCCGAGGGUUGUUGUAGUGAUCAAUAACCCUCUCGUGGUAGAAACGCGGGACGAUUUGAACCGCCGGUGACGGCAAAUCCCUAGACGCAAUCCCUAGAAGCCUCUUUGAACUCAACCUCAACAUUUUCACCGCCUUCGUUUCUCUCCUGGAUUUCGG
This 740-nucleotide unclassified non-coding RNA is filed under the name Hevea brasiliensis (rubber tree). The record is from RNAcentral. Lineage: Eukaryota; Viridiplantae; Streptophyta; Magnoliopsida; Malpighiales; Euphorbiaceae.